Molecule: ribosomal RNA, 466 nt
Filed under: uncultured bacterium
Lineage: Bacteria
Description: partial 16S ribosomal RNA
Rfam family: Bacterial small subunit ribosomal RNA
Source: RNAcentral
GACGAACACUGGCGGCGCGCCUAACACAUGCAAGUCGAACGAGCGAGCGAGAGCUUGCUUUCUUGAGCGAGUGGCGAACGGGUGAGUAACGCGUGAGGAACCUGCCUCAAAGAGGGGGACAACAGUUGGAAACGACUGCUAAUACCGCAUAAGCCCACGGUGCCGCAUGGCACAGAGGGAAAAGGAGCAAUCCGCUUUGAGAUGGCCUCGCGUCCGAUUAGCUAGUUGGUGAGGUAACGGCCCACCAAGGCGACGAUCGGUAGCCGGACUGAGAGGUUGAACGGCCACAUUGGGACUGAGACACGGCCCAGACUCCUACGGGAGGCAGCAGUGGGGAAUAUUGCACAAUGGGGGAAACCCUGAUGCAGCGACGCCGCGUGGAGGAAGAAGGUCUUCGGAUUGUAAACUCCUGUUGUUGGGGAAGAUAAUGACGGUACCCAACAAGGAAGUGACGGCUAACUACGUG